This 253-nucleotide ribosomal RNA is filed under the name uncultured bacterium. RNAcentral's name for it is "partial 16S ribosomal RNA". It matches the Rfam family "Bacterial small subunit ribosomal RNA", at positions 524 to 776 of the family's 1533-position model. The record is from RNAcentral.
UACGAGGGGUGCAAGCGUUGCUCGGAAUUAUUGGGCGUAAAGGGUAGGUAGGUGGUCUCGUUUGUCUGGGGUGAAAGCCUUGAGCUUAACUCAAGAAGUGCCCUAGAAACGGCGAGACUGGAGUACUGGAGAGGGUCGUGGAAUUCCCGGUGUAGCGGUGAAAUGCGUAGAUAUCUGGAGGAACACCGGUGGCGAAGGCGGCAUCCUGGACCAACACUGACGCUGAGGAGCGAAAGCCAGGGGAGCAAACGGG